UACGUAGGUGGCAAGCGUUGUCCGGAUUUAUUGGGCGUAAAGGGAGCGCAGGCGGUGACUUAAGUCUGAUGUGAAAGCCCACGGCUCAACCGUGGAAGGUCAUUGGAAACUGGGUCACUUGAAUACAGAAGAGGAAAGUGGAAUUCCAUGUGUAGCGGUGAAAUGCGUAGAUUUAUGGAGGAACACCAGUGGCGAAGGCGACUUUCUGGUCUGUUAUUGACGCUGAGGCUCGAAAGCAUGGGUAGCAAACAGGAUUAGAUACCCU
This 265-nucleotide ribosomal RNA is filed under the name uncultured prokaryote. RNAcentral's name for it is "partial 16S ribosomal RNA". It matches the Rfam family "Bacterial small subunit ribosomal RNA", at positions 524 to 788 of the family's 1533-position model. The record is from RNAcentral.